CCUACGGGUGGCAGCAGUAGGGAAUAUUGCUCAAUGGGGGAAACCCUGAAGCAGCAACGCCGCGUGGAGGAUGAAGGUCUUCGGAUUGUAAACCUCUUUUUUUAUAGAAGAUAAUGACUGUAUCUAACGAAUAAUCACUGGCCAACACCGUGCCAGCAGCCGCGGUAAUACGGAGGGUGCAAGCGUUACUCGGAAUCACUGGGCGUAAAGAGCGCGUAGGCGGGAUAGCAAGUCAGAUGUGAAAUCCUAUGGCUUAACCAUAGAACUGCAUUUGAAACUGUUAUUCUAGAGUAUGGGAGAGGUAGGUGGAAUUCUUGGUGUAGGGGUAAAAUCCGUAGAGAUCAAGAGGAAUACUCAUUGCGAAGGCGACCUGCUGGAACAUAACUGACGCUGAUGCGCGAAAGCGUGGGGAGCAAACAGGAUUAGAUACCCCAGUAGUC
This 440-nucleotide ribosomal RNA is filed under the name uncultured bacterium. RNAcentral's name for it is "partial 16S ribosomal RNA". It matches the Rfam family "Bacterial small subunit ribosomal RNA", at positions 338 to 795 of the family's 1533-position model. The record is from RNAcentral.